Molecule: ribosomal RNA, 449 nt
Filed under: uncultured bacterium
Lineage: Bacteria
Description: partial 16S ribosomal RNA
Rfam family: Bacterial small subunit ribosomal RNA
Source: RNAcentral
AGCGAACGCUGGCGGCAGGCCUAACACAUGCAAGUCGAACGAAGUCUUCGGACUUAGUGGCGGACGGGUGAGUAACACGUGGGAACGUGCCUUUAGGUUCGGAAUAACUCAGGGAAACUUGUGCUAAUACCGAAUGUGCCCUUCGGGGGAAAGAUUUAUCGCCUUUAGAGCGGCCCGCGUCUGAUUAGCUAGUUGGUGGGGUAAUGGCCCACCAAGGCUACGAUCAGUAGCUGGUCUGAGAGGAUGACCAGCCACAUUGGGACUGAGACACGGCCCAAACUCCUACGGGGGGCAGCGGUGGGGAAUCUUGCGCAAUGGGCGAAAGCCUGACGCAGCCAUGCCGCGUGGAUGAUGAAGGUCUUAGGAUUGUAAAAUCCUUUCACCGGUGAAGAUAAUGACUGUAGCCGGAGAAGAAGCCCCGGCUAACUUCGUGCCAGCAGCCGCCGUAA